This 467-nucleotide ribosomal RNA is filed under the name Meghimatium pictum. RNAcentral's name for it is "partial 16S ribosomal RNA". It matches the Rfam family "Bacterial large subunit ribosomal RNA", at positions 1810 to 2606 of the family's 2925-position model. The record is from RNAcentral. Lineage: Eukaryota; Metazoa; Mollusca; Gastropoda; Stylommatophora; Philomycidae.
AAAACAUAGCCUAUAGUAAAAAUUUUAGGUGAAUUUUGCCCAAUGUAAUAAAAUAAAUGGCCGCAGUACUUUGACUGUGCUAAGGUAGCAAAAUAAUUUGACUUUUAAAUGAAGCCCAGUAUGAAAGGAAUAAUGUUAUAGAGUUGUCUUUAUAAAAGAUUAUAAAAUUUAAUUAUUUGGUGAAAACUCCAAAAGAAAAAUAUUAGACGAGAAGACCCUUAGAAUUUUAAGAAAAUGUAAUAAUUUUUACCAUGCUUUUUGUUGGGGCGACAAAGUAUACAGAAAUAAACUUAUACAACUUACUCUUUUCACUAUAUACCUAUUUAAAAUAACAAAGAAAAUAAUUACCUAAGGGAUAACAGCAUUAUAAAUUCAUUUUGUUUGUGACCUCGAUGUUGGAUUAGGAACUAUUGUGGUAAGAAAUUACAAUAGAAGCUUCUGUUCGAAGUUUUACACCUACGUGAUCU